AUGAAGCGGAAGUUCAUUAUGAUGCCAGUGCUCAUCCAAGGCCCUAAGCAACCUGGCAACAACAUUGAUGUGUACCUAUGGCCAUUAGUUGAAGAACUCUUACAACUGUGGAAUGGAACAGGUGUACGUGCAUGGGAUGAGCACAUGGGGGAAGAAUUUGACCUAAAGGCGUUGCUGUUCGUGACCAUCAAUGGUUGUCCUGCUCUCAGUAACCUUCCAGGACAGACAAACAAGGGAUACCGCGCAUGCACGCACUGUUUGGACGAUACCUACAGUAUAUAUUUGGCUAAUUGUAAGAAGAAUGUGUACCUGGGACAUCGUCGAUUUCUU
Molecule: ribosomal RNA, 330 nt
Filed under: Triticum aestivum (bread wheat)
Lineage: Eukaryota; Viridiplantae; Streptophyta; Magnoliopsida; Poales; Poaceae
Description: partial small subunit ribosomal RNA
Source: RNAcentral